RNAcentral lists this unclassified non-coding RNA (341 nucleotides) under soil metagenome. RNAcentral's name for it is "partial contains 5.8S ribosomal RNA, internal transcribed spacer 2, and large subunit ribosomal RNA". The stretch from base 1 to 120 matches the Rfam family "5.8S ribosomal RNA", at positions 35 to 154 of the family's 154-position model. The record is from RNAcentral.
GAUGAAGAACGCAGCGAAAUGCGAUAAGUAGUGUGAAUUGCAGAAUUCAGUGAAUCAUCGAAUCUUUGAACGCACAUUGCGCCCUUUGGUAUUCCAAAGGGCAUGCCUGUUCGAGCGUCAUUUGUACCCUCAAACUUUGCUUGGUGUUGGGCGUCUUGUCUCUAGCUUUGCUGGAGACUCGCCUUAAAGUAAUUGGCAGCCGGCCUACUGGUUUCGGAGCGCAGCACAAGUCGCACUCUCUAUCAGCAAAGGUCUAGCAUCCAUUAAGCCUUUUUUUCAACUUUUGACCUCGGAUCAGGUAGGGAUACCCGCUGAACUUAAGCAUAUCAAUAAGCGGAGGA